GGCUGGUCUGAGCACAGUGGUGUUUAAAACAAGUGAUCACAACCAGUUACAGAUUUAUUUUUCCUUCUCCAUUCCCACUUCUUCACUCAACUAUCCUUAA
This 100-nucleotide Y RNA is filed under the name Carlito syrichta (Philippine tarsier). Its description in RNAcentral is "Y RNA (ENSTSYG00000020725.2)". It matches the Rfam family "Y RNA". Rfam says of the family: Y RNAs are components of the Ro ribonucleoprotein particle (Ro RNP), in association with Ro60 and La proteins. The Y RNAs and Ro60 and La proteins are well conserved, but the function of the Ro RNP is not known. The record is from Rfam by way of RNAcentral. Lineage: Eukaryota; Metazoa; Chordata; Mammalia; Primates; Tarsiidae.